RNAcentral lists this ribosomal RNA (468 nucleotides) under uncultured bacterium. RNAcentral's name for it is "partial 16S ribosomal RNA". It matches the Rfam family "Bacterial small subunit ribosomal RNA", at positions 28 to 507 of the family's 1533-position model. The record is from RNAcentral.
GACGAACGCUGGCGGCGUGCUUAACACAUGCAAGUCGAACGGAAAGGCCCUGCUUUUGUGGGGUGCUCGAGUGGCGAACGGGUGAGUAACACGUGAGUAACCUGCCCUUGACUUUGGGAUAACUUCAGGAAACUGGGGCUAAUACCUGAUAGGAGCUCCUGCUGCAUGGUGGGGGUUGGAAAGUUUCGGCGGUUGGGGAUGGACUCGCGGCUUAUCAGCUUGUUGGUGGGGUAGUGGCUUACCAAGGCUUUGACGGGUAGCCGGCCUGAGAGGGUGACCGGCCACAUUGGGACUGAGAUACGGCCCAGACUACUACGGGAGGCAGCAGUGGGGAAUAUUGCACAAUGGGCGGAAGCCGGAUGCAGCAACGCCGCGUGCGGGAUGACGGCCUUCGGGUUGUAAACCGCUUUAGCCUGUGACGAAGCGUGAGUGACGGUAAUGGGUAAAGAAGCACCGGCUAACUACGUG